UUGCUGCACUAUUCAGAGUGUGCCUUUUGAUUGUUCAACACUGAUUAUUCUCAACUGAAUGCAUAAAUUGAAUAAACUAAACAGCAUUUUAUUUGAGGAAUGAGCCAACUCCUAGUGGAACUUAGUGGAGCCAGCUGCAGAACAGGGAGGGUUAGAUCUGACGCUGGCUGAACAGCGGCAAGUGACCAGUGUGACUCCCUUGGACAUUGGAAUGCCAAUUGCCAAACUGUCAGGAAACUCAAACAGGUGUGAACAGACACCGAGACAGUUUUUCAGAACAGGAAGAGGCUGGAGCUAAUCCAACAAGUCCGAAGAGUCAGCGAAUGGGAGGGCUGCUAGACAGGAAGCAAAACAAGAGAUGUAAGGGGCGAUGGUUCAAUAUAUUCUGUAGGCACCGGAAGGAGUCUUCAGAAGGGUCAUCUUGAAUGAUAAUGUCAGUGUCUUCAUUAGAGCCGCCCAGAGCUAUGUUUGUUUUUUGCAAUAACUCCUCCUUUUUAGUUA
Molecule: long non-coding RNA, 501 nt
Organism: Podarcis raffonei (Aeolian wall lizard)
Lineage: Eukaryota; Metazoa; Chordata; Lepidosauria; Squamata; Lacertidae
Exons: 2
Source: RefSeq, a predicted model, not a curated record